Capra hircus (goat) is the source of this 964-nucleotide long non-coding RNA. RefSeq lists it as uncharacterized. NCBI's taxonomy places the organism in Eukaryota, Metazoa, Chordata, Mammalia, Artiodactyla, Bovidae. The transcript is spliced from 3 exons. The record is from RefSeq and is a predicted model, not a curated record.
ACGAGGGUCAAUCCACCCCACUCUCCAAGCGCCUCUCCUCUUGCUGCCAAGCCCAGGAUCCGAGGUUGAGUGCGGUUUGUAAGAUUAUAGUGCUCGCUCUCAUUUAAAGGGCUGUCAGCAUUUCCAUUCUCCGGCCCCUUUCGGAGAGGCAUUUAUAACCGAGCCAUAAAAAAUUCACCCAGGCUGCAACUUGGCUUCUCGGAGGCUGCGCUCCAGGCAGGGCGGGUUUUGCAAGCACCCACUCUGAAAUGGUUUGGUUCCUAAGAAGUUAGACCUUCAGACACACUCUCAACUUUCCUCGCAAGGGCAGCCAGAGAGCGGCUGGCCCAUGCUGAUCUCCGAGCUGGUCACAGUCUCUGGAGCCCGCCCUCCUCGUCCCCGUGCCCUUGCAGCCCCAUCACCCUUCCGCUUUCUUCUUCCCUCCCUCUUCAAAUAGCGCGGGCCCCUUCCUCUCACCCUAAGACCUCCCCGUAAGACCUCCCCGGCUGCAGUGUCAUCUACUCCCUCGCCUUGCGCCAGCAUUCUCCUUGGAAACUGUCAGUUGGCCCUGCGUCUGGAACCCUUCACCCCUGAAGAGGCACUGCUCUUCGCUCAUCACAGGGGCCCUCAAGCCCUCUCUCCCUAGACCUGUCCAAAGCCACGGACCCCCAACUCAGAGGGUGGAGGAUCCGAUCCAGGAGAUGGGGAAGGCAGACUGCAACCAAGGCGACCAAGGGGAAAGGAAGGGUCUGGCGCGUCUGGGGGCCCUUCUGCGGGACCCAGUCCAUCAAAGCUGCAGCCCUGCCUCAUCUACAAAGAGCCUCAAAGGUCCUGCCUGAUCUUGGCCAAGAUCCGCUUCUUCCUGAAGGACCUGUUGCAUGGACACGACUGCCCUCCACGAUCCCAAGUGUCAGGAAACGGCCACCUGAGUUGUUCAGGCCACUGCCGAUUGUACCCAAGUACUGCUUCAGCAAUAUGUGAACCA